GAGGGCAUAGCUCAGUGGUAGAGCACAUGCUUAACAUGCAUGAGGUCUUGAGUUCAAUCCCCAGUACCUCCA
RNAcentral lists this transfer RNA (72 nucleotides) under Camelus bactrianus (Bactrian camel). It matches the Rfam family "tRNA". Rfam says of the family: Transfer RNA (tRNA) molecules are approximately 80 nucleotides in length. RNAcentral also lists the same sequence under 2 other names. Lineage: Eukaryota; Metazoa; Chordata; Mammalia; Artiodactyla; Camelidae. The record is from Rfam by way of RNAcentral.